GCCAGCGGCCAUAUCAUCCUGCAGCUCUCAACUGGCUUCCCACUGAAGUUAAGCAGGGUUGAGCCUGGUCAGUAACUGGAUGUCAGACCUCCUGGGAAGCUAUGGUUGCUGCUGGAA
Molecule: ribosomal RNA, 117 nt
Filed under: Lepisosteus oculatus (spotted gar)
Lineage: Eukaryota; Metazoa; Chordata; Actinopteri; Semionotiformes; Lepisosteidae
Source: RNAcentral